GUUACAAUUGUUUUAUAUUUUGACGCUGAUUGCUAAUAUAAGAGUUUAAAAUGUCCUACUGGUAGGCAAGCCUACCAAGGAAACAAUGAGUACGCAAAAAACAGGGUUAAAUAGAACCGGUCAGACCGGCCUAAAAUACGUAAUGAUCCUUCCGCAGGUUCACCUACGGAAA
Molecule: unclassified non-coding RNA, 172 nt
Filed under: uncultured fungus
Lineage: Eukaryota; Fungi
Description: sequence contains ITS1
Source: RNAcentral